ACGCUGGCGGCAGGCUUAACACAUGCAAGUCGAACGGUAACAGGGAUUAGCUUGCUAAUUUGCUGACGAGUGGCGGACGGGUGAGUAAUGCUUGGGAAUCUGGCUUAUGGAGGGGGAUAACUACGGGAAACUGUAGCUAAUACCGCGUAAUAUCGGAAGAUUAAAGGGUGGGACUUUCGAGCCACCUGCCAUAAGAUGAGCUCAAGUGGGAUUAGGUAGUUGGUUAGGUAAAGGCUGACCAAGCCGACGAUCUCUAGCUGGUCUGAGAGGAUGACCAGCCACACUGGAACUGAGACACGGUCCAGACUCCUACGGGAGGCAGCAGUGGGGAAUAUUGCACAAUGGGGGGAACCCUGAUGCAGCCAUGCCGCGUGAAUGAAGAAGGCCUUCGGGUUGUAAAGUUCUUUCGGUGACGAGGAAGGUUGAUAGGUUAAUAGCCUAUCAAAUUGACGUUAAUCACAGAAGAAGCACCGGCUAACUCCGUGCCAGCAGCCGCGGUAAUACGGGGGGUGCGAGCGUUAAUCGGAAUAACUGGGCGUAAAGGGCACGCAGGCGGUGACUUAAGUGAGAUGUGAAAGCCCCGAGCUUAACUUGGGAAUUGCAUUUCAUACUGGGUCGCUAGAGUACUUUAGGGAGGGGUAGAAUUCCACGUGUAGCGGUGAAAUGCGUAGAGAUGUGGAGGAAUACCGAAGGCGAAGGCAGCCCCUUGGGAAUGUACUGACGCUCAUGUGCGAAAGCGUGGGGAGCAAACAGGAUUAGAUACCCUGGUAGUCCACGCUGUAAACGAUGUCGAUUUGGGGAUUGGGCUUUGAGCUUGGUGCCCGUAGCUAACGUGAUAAAUCGACCGCCUGGGGAGUACGGCCGCAAGGUUAAAACUCAAAUGAAUUGACGGGGGCCCGCACAAGCGGUGGAGC
RNAcentral lists this ribosomal RNA (914 nucleotides) under uncultured bacterium. RNAcentral's name for it is "bacterial SSU rRNA". It matches the Rfam family "Bacterial small subunit ribosomal RNA", at positions 33 to 938 of the family's 1533-position model. The record is from RNAcentral.